RNAcentral lists this ribosomal RNA (1073 nucleotides) under Triticum aestivum (bread wheat). Its description in RNAcentral is "partial small subunit ribosomal RNA". The record is from RNAcentral. Lineage: Eukaryota; Viridiplantae; Streptophyta; Magnoliopsida; Poales; Poaceae.
UUUGCCUAUUCACAUCCAAAGCCAUACCUGGGUAAGAGAGCCGGCUGUCCUUUUUCUCCAGAUAGGGAAGCUCGCGGCGUUCUCGACAGUUCUCGUCUUGAUACCGCUACGGCAUCCUCCCCCCGCUGCCCUAAGCUUAGAGAUCGUCUAGGUUAGCUGACUAAAGGUAACGGCCUAGAGCGGCGCCGGCUUAUGAACGACGCGCUGCUUCAUUUAGUUAGAGACAACACGCGCCAGCGAGUUAGGUCGUUAUCACCACGGCCGCUCUGCCGCCAUUGUCAUGUUCUUCUUAAACUGGUGUCAAAGUUUUCCCCACGGGACAGCUUAAGUCUCGUCAGUUGUCUGUUUCUGCUACCUGUGCGUGGACUGAGCAGCUCGUCCAAAGUCAACGGUCUCCAGUGGUAGACAGUUGUCAAUCACUUGCCGCUUCGUUCGGUUUGAAACCAUACGUGUCGGCGACUUAGGCCGUAGCCACUACACCCACUAGGUGGCGGGUGUUAUGUUCAUCUGUAGUUGUCGUGAACGUUACCUUACCGGGACAGGGAAGGCUGGAGUCUUGUUAGCUGUCCGUUUCUGCUAGGAGUUCGUGGACCGACCUGGUUUUCCAUAUGUUAACACCUACACACAAAGACAAAGUUCCUAUACUGUUAAAACUCACCCGACAUAUAAAUGUAAGGAGGUUUAAAGUGACUCUUCAUGACUAAAAGGACAUUUCAUCAUGUUCCGACGACGAUCUGUAGCUAUGCAACACAAAACACUAAUGUGUGAUGAUCUUUGGUUUUUUUUGACAAAGAUCUUAUUGUACAUCGACAUACUACGUCCCAUGCACAUCCCGUGUGUGGAUAAAUAUAAGGAGGUUUUCAACAAGACGUAUAGCAGCUCUUUUAUCGACACCUCUGUUAAAAGGAAUCAAACAAAUAAAGGUGUAAGACAACAACUCCCGGUUUUUUAUCUUUAAACACAUUAUUUUGGACAACUUCCAUGUGACGAUAGACAACAUGAACAAUUGAACGGUUGUACAACAUGCGAACACUUACUCCGAUGACACCAAAUUCGUUUUAGUAACAGUGCGG